Molecule: long non-coding RNA, 299 nt
Filed under: Erythranthe guttata (spotted monkey flower)
Lineage: Eukaryota; Viridiplantae; Streptophyta; Magnoliopsida; Lamiales; Phrymaceae
Description: long non-coding RNA (EGUT_LNC000525)
Source: RNAcentral
GGGUCAUGUGCAAAAUGUCAAAAUCACAAGGAGGUUAUGUGCCUAAUUUCAUACCAUAAAAGGGGUCAUGUGAAAAAUGUCAAAACCACAAAGAGGUUAUGUGCCUAAUUUCAUACCAUAAGGGGUCAUAUGCAAAAUGUCCGAACCACAAGGGGUUCGAAUAUGACUAUUGUAGAAUAUAAUUGUAGUCAUAUUCGAAUAUGUUUUAUCUUCUCGUUUCAAGUUGACUUGUAAUAACAAGAUUCAAAUUGUAAUUUUUAGUGUGGAUGUUGAUUCGAUUGUUUUCGUAAAUAAUAUGC